UACGUCGGGCGCAAGCGUUGUCCGGAAUUAUUGGGCGUAAAGAGCUCGUAGGUGGCGUGUCGCGUCUGCCGUGAAAGCCCAUGGCUUAACUGUGGGUCUGCGGUGGAUACGGGCAGGCUGGAGGCUGGUAGGGGCAAGCGGAAUUCCUGGUGUAGCGGUGAAAUGCGCAGAUAUCAGGAGGAACACCGGUGGCGAAGGCGGCUUGCUGGGCCAGUUCUGACGCUGAGGAGCGAAAGCGUGGGGAGCGAACAGG
Molecule: ribosomal RNA, 253 nt
Filed under: uncultured bacterium
Lineage: Bacteria
Description: partial 16S ribosomal RNA
Rfam family: Bacterial small subunit ribosomal RNA
Source: RNAcentral